GACGAACGCUGGCGGCGUGCUUAACACAUGCAAGUCGAGCGGUAAGGCCCUUUCGGGGGUACACGAGCGGCGAACGGGUGAGUAACACGUGGGUGACCUGCCCUCAGCUCUGGGAUAAGCCCGGGAAACUGGGUCUAAUACUGGAUAUGACUCCAUGACGCAUGUUGUGGGGUGGAAAGCCUUGUGCGGCUGAGGAUGGGCCCGCGGCCUAUCAGCUUGUUGGUGGGGNGAUGGCCUACCAAGGCGACGACGGGUAGCCGGCCUGAGAGGGCGACCGGCCACACUGGGACUGAGACACGGCCCAGACUCCUACGGGAGGCAGCAGUGGGGAAUCUUGCGCAAUGGGCGAAAGCCUGACGCAGCGACGCCGCGUGAGGGAUGACGGCCUGUGU
Molecule: ribosomal RNA, 392 nt
Filed under: uncultured bacterium
Lineage: Bacteria
Description: bacterial SSU rRNA
Rfam family: Bacterial small subunit ribosomal RNA
Source: RNAcentral